RNAcentral lists this long non-coding RNA (325 nucleotides) under Mytilus galloprovincialis (Mediterranean mussel). The record is from RNAcentral. Lineage: Eukaryota; Metazoa; Mollusca; Bivalvia; Mytilida; Mytilidae.
UUCGUUCAUUUUUUUUACAUAAAUAAGGCCGUUAGUUUUCUCGUUUGAAUUGUUUUACAUUAUCUUAUCGGGGCCUUUUAUAGCUCACUAUGCGAUAUGGGCUUUUCUAAUUGGUGAAGGCCGUACGGUGACCUAUAGUUGUUAAUGUCUGUGUCAUUUUGAUCUUUUGUGGAUAGUUGUCUCAUUGGCAAUCAUACCACAUCUUCUUUUUUAUAUUAAUUAACAUAUAACAAAUAUGUUUCUCCGAAUAUUGCAUUAUUAUACAUAUGUUUGCAUUUCUUUGUUGAUAAAUUGCAUAUAUCUUUUGAAACUCAAUUUAAAUAAC